Molecule: long non-coding RNA, 505 nt
Organism: Solea solea (common sole)
Lineage: Eukaryota; Metazoa; Chordata; Actinopteri; Pleuronectiformes; Soleidae
Exons: 5
Source: RefSeq, a predicted model, not a curated record
GCGUCCCAGGACGCAGCAGCAUACCUUGUUAUAUUAGGAGCAAUCACGCAGGAGUUGGAUUCACGUGUAAAGAGGUGUCGCCAAAGCUUUUGUUCACUGUGGGACUUUGCUGGUGAAAAAGACAAAUGAAUGCUUUUACUAACGACUUCGCUCUCCUCCUCUCCUCCUCGGAAACUGAACCAGGUGGUGGAGUUUUUCCUCUGAGAUGAAAUGAAGGAGAUGCUUUGGAAUCAAAGUGGCAUCAUAUAAUCCUCCAGGACACAUAUGACGCCAGGACACUGACAUGGCAGGAGAUCAUGACACGACGGUCCAACUAGCAAGCUAUCAGGGGAGGUUAAGUUUGCCAUCUUGUACCUUGAGUGAGCAUGUGCCAGAUCCACUUCACUUCAGAUGUCACAAGGUUUCGGUUUCAGACUUUGAUGCAAAGUCAGGAGGACAGGUCGGUUUCACGUGAGAAUACACGGAAACACUGAAACUGAUUUCGAGAGUAUUCAUGACUUCUGUG